Molecule: non-coding RNA, 172 nt
Organism: Agrilus planipennis (emerald ash borer)
Lineage: Eukaryota; Metazoa; Arthropoda; Insecta; Coleoptera; Buprestidae
Source: Rfam
GCUUAAUAUGUGAAUGUUUUUCCAAUUGACGGCUGAAGAGGACCCUAGUUGGUCCUAGAACAGCCUGAGAUAGAGGGGUUUUAAUCGGUAGGUCCGAGGACUUCUUCCUCGGAAAUCCGACACUACCUAGUCGUACGGACGGCUGGGUGUCUUUUGAAGAUUUCCCCUCUUC